Molecule: long non-coding RNA, 900 nt
Organism: Nylanderia fulva
Lineage: Eukaryota; Metazoa; Arthropoda; Insecta; Hymenoptera; Formicidae
Source: RefSeq, a predicted model, not a curated record
AUCCGCUCGACCUCAACCGAAGCGUUCGGUCCGGCUGUCACAUUCGCGGUGUGCCAAAUGCUCGCCUCUCGCGUGGCGACGACGGCGGCGGCGUGACGCGUUAAAUGAAAAUGGCAACGCGCCGGUACGCCACGCGGCCUCAACGGGGUACGUACGGUAGCGCACACAAAAUUCUCCUACUUUAUCCAAUCUGAAAUAACAUCAGCACACACGGGACAAUGAGCGACUAUGUGGGGACUUGCAAGCAUUCGGCCAACAUAACGCGAGGAUCACUCUAUGGUGUUGACAUAUAGAUGAGAUUGAAUCUUAGGAUGUCAUAUUGAAAAGAUUUCAAUGAAUAUCUUGAAAGAGCUCACAAUAUAUUUUCAAUUUGCAAGCAGAUGACAGCAGCAGUUUAGAAUACACAUGGAACCUUCAAGAUAAUCCAAUAAAGUAAAAUAUCUUUCGGACGAAGCAAUUUUUAUUGCAUUUAUUGUCUUAAAAAUUUGCUGCAAAACUGUAUUAAUAAAAGAAUAUUGUGAGAAAAAAACAUGUAGAGCAUAUUUUGUUUAUGCUAAUACAACCAUUCUGCUCAAGUCUUAUGUAUAUUCAAUCAUCAUAAUCAAGCUGAAUAAUUCAGUUAAUUCUUUAAAUAGUCAUCGCAUUUAACUUGUAUGAUAUACUGUAUCUUAAAAAUGAGAAAAAGUUAACUUCUUUUUAUGUAAAAAUUCGUUCUUUAUUAUUGUUUUGUCUAAUUACUUUGAAGUAAUUUCUAUGUAUAUAAACAUAUGUAUAUGUAAAAUUAUAUAAAUAGAAUAAGUCCAGCAUAUUUAUUUAACUGCUUGAUUAUAUCAUCUUUCUGCAAAACAAUGCUCCGUUCGCGUGUGAUAAUAAUUUUUACAAUUAUCCUACUUUUUAAUU